UGGGGAAUUUUGGACAAUGGGGGAAACCCUGAUCCAGCCAUCCCGCGUGUGCGAUGAAGGCCUUCGGGUUGUAAAGCACUUUUGGCAGGAAAGAAACGUCAUGGGUUAAUACCCCGUGAAACUGACGGUACCUGCAGAAUAAGCACCGGCUAACUACGUGCCAGCAGCCGCGGUAAUACGUAGGGUGCAAGCGUUAAUCGGAAUUACUGGGCGUAAAGCGUGCGCAGGCGGUUCGGAAAGAAAGAUGUGAAAUCCCAGAGCUCAACUUUGGAACUGCAUUUUUAACUACCGGGCUAGAGUGUGUCAGAGGGAGGUGGAAUUCCGCGUGUAGCAGUGAAAUGCGUAGAUAUGCGGAGGAACACCGAUGGCGAAGGCAGCCGCCUGGGAUAACACUGACGCUCAUGCACGAAAGCGUGGGGAGCAAACAGG
RNAcentral lists this ribosomal RNA (429 nucleotides) under Acidobacteriota bacterium. Its description in RNAcentral is "Acidobacteria bacterium partial 16S ribosomal RNA". It matches the Rfam family "Bacterial small subunit ribosomal RNA", at positions 355 to 776 of the family's 1533-position model. Lineage: Bacteria; Pseudomonadati; Acidobacteriota. The record is from RNAcentral.